RNAcentral lists this ribosomal RNA (508 nucleotides) under Megaphloeus tigrinus. Its description in RNAcentral is "partial 16S ribosomal RNA". The stretch from base 385 to 508 matches the Rfam family "Archaeal large subunit ribosomal RNA", at positions 2544 to 2668 of the family's 2987-position model. Lineage: Eukaryota; Metazoa; Arthropoda; Insecta; Coleoptera; Cleridae. The record is from RNAcentral.
UGUCUUUUUGAUAAUAAUUUAAAGUCUAAUCUGCCCACUGAAAUUUUAAAUGGCCGCGGUAUUUUGACCGYGCAAAGGUAGCAUAAUAAUUAGUUUUUUAAUUGAAAGCUGGAAUGAAUGAUUGGAUGASAAAAAAGCUGUCUCAAAUUAAUUUAAUUAGAAUUUUAUUUUUAAGUUAAAAAGCUUAAAUUAAAUUUAAAGACGAGAAGACCCUAUAGAGUUUUAUAAAUUUUAUUAUUUAAAUUAAUAGUUUUAAUUAUUUAAAUUUUUAUUAUUUAUUUUGUUGGGGUGAUAGAAAAAUUAACUUAACUUUUUYUAAAUUUUUUCAUUUAUAAAUGUUUAAUUGAUCCAUAAUUAAUGAUUAUAAGAUUAAAUUACCUUAGGGAUAACAGCGUAAUUUUUUUAAAGAGUUCAAAUCGAAAAAAAAGAUUGCGACCUCGAUGUUGGAUUAAAGUAAAUUUUUGGUGUAAAAACUAAAAUAUUAGGUCUGUUCGACCUUUAAAACUUU